This 495-nucleotide ribosomal RNA is filed under the name uncultured bacterium. RNAcentral's name for it is "partial 16S ribosomal RNA". It matches the Rfam family "Bacterial small subunit ribosomal RNA", at positions 28 to 507 of the family's 1533-position model. The record is from RNAcentral.
GACGAACGCUGGCGGCGCGCCUAAUACAUGCAAGUCGAACGCUGAAGGAGGAGCUUGCUCUUCUGGAUGAGUUGCGAACGGGUGAGUAACGCGUAGGUAACCUGCCUGGUAGCGGGGGAUAACUAUUGGAAACGAUAGCUAAUACCGCAUAAGAGUAGAUGUUGCAUGACAUUUACUUAAAAGGUGCAAUUGCAUCACUACCAGAUGGACCUGCGUUGUAUUAGCUAGUUGGUGGGGUAACGGCUUACCAAGGCGACGAUACAUAGCCGACCUGAGAGGGUGAUCGGCCACACUGGGACUGAGACACGGCCCAGACUCCUACGGGAGGCAGCAGGAGGGAAUCUUCGGCAAUGGACGGAAGUCUGACCGAGCAACGCCGCGGGAGUGAAGAAGGGUUUCGGAUCGUAAAGCUCUGUUGUAAGAGAAGAACGAGUGUGAGAGUGGAAAGUUCACACUGUGACGGUAGCUUACCAGAAAGGGACGGCUAACUACGUG